RNAcentral lists this ribosomal RNA (279 nucleotides) under uncultured bacterium. Its description in RNAcentral is "partial 16S ribosomal RNA". It matches the Rfam family "Bacterial small subunit ribosomal RNA", at positions 506 to 784 of the family's 1533-position model. The record is from RNAcentral.
UGCCAGCCGCCGCGGUAAUACGGAGGGUGCAAGCGUUAAUCGGAAUUACUGGGCGUAAAGCGUGCGUAGGCGGCGCAUUAAGUCGGAUGUGAAAGCCCUGGGCUUAACCUGGGAAUGGCAUUCGAUACUGGUGCGCUAGAGUCUGAUAGAGGGUAGCGGAAUUCCGGGUGUAGCGGUGAAAUGCGUAGAUAUUAGGAAGAACACCAGUGGCGAAGGCGACUUUCUGGCUCGUAACUGACGCUGAGGCACGAAAGCGUGGGGAGCAAACAGGAUUAGAUA